This 253-nucleotide ribosomal RNA is filed under the name uncultured bacterium. RNAcentral's name for it is "partial 16S ribosomal RNA". It matches the Rfam family "Bacterial small subunit ribosomal RNA", at positions 524 to 776 of the family's 1533-position model. The record is from RNAcentral.
UACAGAGGGGGCAAGCGUUAUUCGGAAUUAUUGGGCGUAAAGGGCGCGUAGGCGGCUUUGCAAGUGACGGGUGAAAUCCCUCGGCUUAACCGAGGAACUGCCUGUCAAACUGCAUGGUUUGAGACCGGGAGAGGUGAGUGGAAUUCCCAGUGUAGCGGUGAAAUGCGUAGAUAUUGGGAGGAACACCAGUGGCGAAGGCGGCUCACUGGACCGGUACUGACGCUGAUGCGCGAAAGCGUGGGGAGCAAACAGG